Molecule: ribosomal RNA, 608 nt
Filed under: Yersinia intermedia
Lineage: Bacteria; Pseudomonadati; Pseudomonadota; Gammaproteobacteria; Enterobacterales; Yersiniaceae
Description: bacterial SSU rRNA
Rfam family: Bacterial small subunit ribosomal RNA
Source: RNAcentral
UGCGGCAGCCUACACAUGCAGUCGAGCGGCAGCGGGAAGUAGCUUGCUACUUUGCCGGCGAGCGGCGGACGGGUGAGUAAUGUCUGGGAAACUGCCCGAUGGAGGGGGAUAACUACUGGAAACGGUGGCUAAUACCGCAUAACGUCUUCGGACCAAAGUGGGGGACCUUCGGGCCUCACACCAUCGGAUGUGCCCAGAUGGGAUUAGCUAGUAGGUGGGGUAACGGCUCACCUAGGCGACGAUCCCUAGCUGGUCUGAGAGGAUGACCAGCCACACUGGAACUGAGACACGGUCCAGACUCCUACGGGAGGCAGCAGUGGGGAAUAUUGCACAAUGGGCGCAAGCCUGAUGCAGCCAUGCCGCGUGUGUGAAGAAGGCCUUCGGGUUGUAAAGCACUUUCAGCGAGGAGGAAGGCAGUCGUGUUAAUAGCACGGUUGAUUGACGUUACUCGCAGAAGAAGCACCGGCUAACUCCGUGCCAGCAGCCGCGGUAAUACGGAGGGUGCAAGCGUUAAUCGGAAUUACUGGGCGUAAAGCGCACGCAGGCGGUUUGUUAAGUCAGAUGUGAAAUCCCCGCGCUUAACGUGGGAACUGCAUUUGAAACUGGCA